UCACUCAGCUUGCAAUAUCAGGUAGACAUGUUGACAUUCUAAUGGAUAUUAUGAGGUUCUCCGGAUGGAACAAAUGGGGUCCAGCUGCUUAUUAUCUGCAUAGAAGAAACCAUGGGACUGGAUGAUAGGGUCCAGUGAAGAGGUAUAUACAGAGAAGAGGAGAGGGUCCAGCACCAAUCCUUGGAACACACCCAUGCUGGUGCACCUUUGACAUCUCUUCAUGCUGGGGCACACAGAAGGACCUGCCCAAGAGUUUGAUCAUCACAUCUUUAAUUCCCAGACACUGUGAAGAAGUAGGCAAGGAGGACAAGAAGAAGAAGAAGCCUCAUGUGUCGAAUUCACCCGAAGUGAUCUGCUCUGUGGAUGACACCAUGACGUCCUCGAGGGUGGUCCGGCUCGCAGGACCCUCAUUUUUGACGACCCAAGUGGCUGGACCAGGCUCCUGUAACACCUGGCUGUGGCAGAUACAGGGUGGGACUGGGCCACCUACCUGAGGGGUUGCCAGCUGGGAUCCCGGGCUGUGUGACGUGACAACGUGCUGUACCAGUGCAGGCUCCCCAACCUGACCUGACCUGAUAACUCUGCCUGCUGAUUUGGGGGCUCCUGCCUGAGGUUUGGCACUUCUCCCCCUUUACUUCAAGGACAUGUGUCACACACGGGCGCGUGGGAGACGGUUUAUAGGCUCAAAUGGUGUUAGUUCGCAGUCAGACCAGGGGUUGGCACUGUCGCCUGAUCCCUAAAGGGUGGCAUUUGGGGGUGGCAAGUGCAGCAACCUCCUCAGGCCCUGCACCUAAGGGGGACCUGCUUUUGAGGUCAAAGUUAUAUUCUUCAGUUAUAUUUUGAUAAAGUCCGCAUGUUAUCUUGCAAACAUUUAGCCGAAUACCGUAAUGAGAAAAUCCGGUGUAUGUUAACAUUAUUUUGAUUAAAUUCACCUGUUUAUACGAUCCACACAUACCGGUAACAGCGUCUGACGUAAAUCGGGUUUGUCAGCCCCAGGCUCUGCACACCCAUAAGGUCACCUCUUGCCUGAUGUUCUGCAGACCAGCUGAAGACCCCCUUCCUCUCAAUAACAUCAUCACUGGUCACUCACCAUUGACAUCACUUCCAGUAUACUCUGAUGACUUCAUUUCAGGCACCCUGAACCAGGACCAUCUCAAACAGCAUUACAGACCCCCCGUUGCAAAGCAGUGCACUGGGACCCCUACCUACACAACCCCUCAUUAAGUCACAACAUACAUAGAUUAGCAUGGGGGCUCAUGGGGGGGGGGGGCCGUUAAGAUGGCCCUGCCCUGAAUCCAUCUUCCUGCCACCUCAGUUCCAGUUCUGGCCUUCCUGACUCCCCGUCUUCCUCUGUUCAGCCAUAUUGAUCGACCAGCCUACAACCUGUUAGUCAUUUCGGUUUUGAACUCCACAGCUGUAAAUCCGAGUUUUAUUUAUUUUGCUGAUUUUUUCAGUAUAUGGGGUGGCCUUCCCCAAACCUUUUCCUGUCCGCUGCCCCUUUUUUAUUUUACAUGAUUAGAAGUUGAAGCACCCUGAGGCUGGUUAAUGCUGCUGCCCCAAACCUCCAGGGUACCAGUGCCACUCAGUAUUUAAAUGUAGCUUGUAUAAGUUCUCCCAGUUCCCGAUUGGGUUUUCUCUGCUCUCCUCCCGCCUCUUAAAGGUGGGGAUUGGUAGUUGGAGUCGUUGUGAACGUGAAGAGGCCCUGGCAUGUCAUAAACUGGCAUCCAAAUCAGGGUUGGUUCUUACCUUGCCCCCGAGGCUACCGGGAUAGGCUUCACCUGCCUGUAAGUGUGAACUGGGGAAGAAGAAAAUGGACGGGUGGAGUUUGGGAUGAUGGAUGGUGUGUUUUGGGAAUAGAGAAGUUUUUAGCAUUUUGUAGGGCAAUAUAUUGUCCUAUCAAACUCAAAGUGUGUCAAGAAGACCACAGCCAGCAAGUACCAUCACCGUGCCCUCUGUAUUUGUUAGCCAGGACCUGAUGGCAUCCCAUCAGAGGUGUUCAAGCCUGAUGUAGAGACUGUAGUGGAGAUGCCGUACCCCCUCUUCAAGAAGAUCUGGGAAGAUCUUGUUAAAGUGGAAGGAGGGUUACUUCAUCGAGAACCCAAAGAAAUGAGAACUUCAGUUCAGAGCUUGAAAUGGGAGCAGUCUUUCAAUUGUGAUACAGUGACAUUCGAGCACUGGGAUACAUCAACUCUCAUUCGAAUGGGUCACAGGGAAUUAGGGUGUGGACCUGAUGAUUCCUGAAGAGGUUCUGGUACCCAUGGUACUCUACAAAUAUAGGUGCAGGUAUGAGGAAUUAUGAAAAUCGAUCACCACGAGACAGUGAACGAUGACCGAAGGGGUGGGGUCCCCCUUGAAGAUUCUCAGAUGAAAGGUUGUCAGUACUCUACAUUGAAAUCAGAAGAGUUGCCGGUACUCCAUACAUUUCAAAGCACUUCCUCAGCUCCUGCUCAAACGAUGGAGGGAUGAUAACAUUGUCUGUCCAAGGCAAAGUCUGCAAGACCUGCUGUACAGGAUGAGGGAAGGCGUCGACUCCCAGCACCAAGAUCAGCAGGGCUGGCUUUCACAAGGAUAGAGCAGAAGGCAUCACUGCCUUGACGAUGAGAAGAACGGAUGUGUGGCAGGGACGUGCGGUCAGGGGCGGCCUCAUUAUGAAAAGUAAAAAAAAAAUAAUAAUAAUGAUAACAUAAAAUAAAUGUGUCCAAUGGUCUGCGCUAUAAAGUUGUUUUCUGUGUGAUUCCAAUGAUCAUUUUUAUAGUCAAAAUCGUUGAAUUGGCACCAGGGGCGGACUGGGCAAUUUGGGCAAUGCCCUAUGGGCCGUGGAUUCUGCUCUGGUCAUGG
Long non-coding RNA from Polypterus senegalus (gray bichir), 2838 nucleotides. RefSeq lists it as uncharacterized. Lineage: Eukaryota; Metazoa; Chordata; Cladistia; Polypteriformes; Polypteridae. The transcript is spliced from 3 exons. The record is from RefSeq and is a predicted model, not a curated record.